RNAcentral lists this long non-coding RNA (706 nucleotides) under Brassica napus (rape). RNAcentral's name for it is "long non-coding RNA (BNAP_LNC003896)". The record is from RNAcentral. Lineage: Eukaryota; Viridiplantae; Streptophyta; Magnoliopsida; Brassicales; Brassicaceae.
AGAGUUUAUUACGUACUAGAACAUCUAGUAACAUAUUUAAAAAAAAAACAUCUAGUAACAUAUAUAUUUGGGAUUUAUUUUCUGUAAAAUAUUGACCUAAAAAUUGUUGUUGUUUUUUUUAAAACCUAAAAAAUGUUUUUAAACUAAUUUACACCAAUGCACAUUUUCCACGUACUUCUUUAAUUAUUUUGGUUUACAUUACAUGUAAAGACUUUUGUUAUAUAAUAUUACACCGAAAUCCACAAGAUUACACGACGUGAUUAAGAUAAUUGGAAAGACUAAACUUGGGGUUCCUAUUUUGACAACUGUUGUGAAUUUGUAGCAUUAUAUAGUUGUUCUUAGUUGAAGUUGUUAUUAGAUUUGAUUAGAGUAAAUUAAUCGUCGAGUCGUCUUAUACUGCUUUUCCCCGCGGUUAGUUGAAACAGAAAAACUUAUACUUUACAAUAAACUAUUAAUUUUGGUCUUCAGAAUGAAAUAAUUUAUACUAUUAAUUCCCUGUUUUGACUAAUAUUUUUAGUUUCUUUUAGCCAGAGUCACAUACCCAUACAGUACAUGCAUGAAUACAAACUGGGGAUUGUGCCACGUUACGAAAAUUCUUACGUUUAUUGAGUGAUGAUUUACUUGUACAAAAAGUGAAGACAUUUGACCAAGACAAAAGACGAAGCACGGUGUUUACUUUUAGGGAGAAAUUAAAGGAAGAUAUCCC